AUACGGAGGAUGCGAGCGUUAUCCGGAUUUAUUGGGUUUAAAGGGUGCGUAGGCUGUGCGUUAAGUCAGGGGUGAAAUGCCGUCGCUCAACGACGGAGCUGCCCUUGAUACUGGCGUGCUGGAGUACGGAUGCCGUUGGAGGAAUGAGUGGUGUAGCGGUGAAAUGCUUAGAUAUCACUCAGAACACCGAUUGCGAAGGCAUCUGACGAAUCCGUCACUGACGCUGAGGCACGAAAGCGUGGGGAUAUAACAGGAUUAGAUCCCCUGGUAUUCCACGCCGUAAACGAUGAUGACUAACCGUCGGCGAUAGACAGCCGGUGGCCAAGCGAAAGCGAUAAGUCAUCCACCGGGGGAGUACGUCGGCAACGAUGAAACUCAAAGGAAUUGACGGGG
This 393-nucleotide ribosomal RNA is filed under the name uncultured bacterium. Its description in RNAcentral is "partial 16S ribosomal RNA". It matches the Rfam family "Bacterial small subunit ribosomal RNA", at positions 523 to 918 of the family's 1533-position model. The record is from RNAcentral.